CAGUCGCCGCGGGAAUACGUAGGUGGCAAGCGUUGUCCGGAAUUAUUGGGCGUAAAGGGCUCGCAGGCGGUUUCUUAAGUCUGACGUGAAAGCCCCCGGCUCAACCGGGGAGGGUCAUUGGAAACUGGGAAACUUGAGUGCAGAAGAGGGGAGUGGAAUUCCACGUGUAGCGGUGAAAUGCGUAGAGAUGUGGAGGAACACCAGUGGCGAAGGCGACCCUCUGGUCUGUAACUGACGCUGAGGAGCGAAAGCGUGGGGAGCGAACAGGAUUAGAUACCCGUGUAGUCCCUGUCUCUUAUAC
RNAcentral lists this ribosomal RNA (301 nucleotides) under uncultured bacterium. RNAcentral describes it as "partial 16S ribosomal RNA". It matches the Rfam family "Bacterial small subunit ribosomal RNA", at positions 509 to 807 of the family's 1533-position model. The record is from RNAcentral.